RNAcentral lists this ribosomal RNA (509 nucleotides) under uncultured Glomus. RNAcentral's name for it is "SSU rRNA". It matches the Rfam family "Eukaryotic small subunit ribosomal RNA", at positions 569 to 1077 of the family's 1831-position model. The record is from RNAcentral. Lineage: Eukaryota; Fungi; Glomeromycota; Glomeromycetes; Glomerales; Glomeraceae.
AGCAGCCGCGGUAACUCCAGCUCCAAUAGCGUAUAUUAAAGUUGUUGCAGUUAAAAAGCUCGUAGUUGAAUUUCGGGAUCAAAUUGUCGGUCGUGCCUCGGUACGUACUGGUAUUAUUGGUUCCUCCCUUCUGAAGAACCACGAUGUCAUUAAUUUGGUGUCAUGGGAAAUCAGGACUGUUACUUUGAAAAAAUUAGAGUGUUUAAAGCAGGCUCGCGCUUGAAUACAUUAGCAUGGAAUAAUGAAAUAGGACGUUUGAUUCUAUUUUGUUGGUUUUCUAGGAUUCGACGUAAUGAUUAAUAGGGAUAGUUGGGGGCAUUAGUAUUCAAUUGUCAGAGGUGAAAUUCUUGGAUUUAUUGAAGACUAACUACUGCGAAAGCAUUUGCCAAGGAUGUUUUACAUUAAUCAAGAACGAAAGUUAGGGAUCGAAGACGAUCAGAUACCGUCGUAGUCUUAACCAUAAACUAUAGCCGACUAGGGAUCGGAUGAUGUUUAAUUUUUAUGUACUU